CAAUUAGCUAUCGGUUGGUCGAAAUACUAGCAGACAGAGCUAGUGACUGAGUACUGUUCGUGAUUCCGACAUCUCCGUUCUGUUUGUUGGUACUGCUGUCCUCUUGAGUGCUAAGCGGUACCAGCCUACAACCAUCAUUUCGUAAUCUAUCACUAAUAAUAAAAGCAGUAAGGUUUCCUUCGUUGUCAUCCGUCGUGCAUCAAUUUUCGUGCCUGUCCUGAUUUUUCAUGUUUUCUUACACUCCAUUGAACUUCUCUUUUUCUAUUUCCACAGCGCUGCCUUCCCGGGCCGCCACCGCCGACUCAACUGCCCGCGCAGCACCUCCCUGCGGUGAUACGUGUCGGCGCCUGAUUAGAUUCCCGUGGAAGAGACGAGUAAGGGGUCCAGGUCUGGCCAACGCUAUCCACCCCCGUGCAGUUUCUCAUGCACUGCGCCAUCGCGUGCUCCAUGACCUUCUUCUGACGCCAGCCACGACCGGCGGGCGGCGUGAACUGGGUGCCAUGUCCGUGACCGCGGCUGCUAGCAUUGACACCGAGAUCAUUUUGAUUGAAUGUCCACUUAUAUUAUUAUGUUUUGUAUAAACAUGAAUUUUCGCGUGCACAUGUUUAAGAGGCCGUGACAACGCACGGACAGUGUACUAGUCGCC
This 646-nucleotide long non-coding RNA is filed under the name Brachypodium distachyon (stiff brome). Its description in RNAcentral is "long non-coding RNA (BDIS_LNC000853)". The record is from RNAcentral. Lineage: Eukaryota; Viridiplantae; Streptophyta; Magnoliopsida; Poales; Poaceae.